Molecule: long non-coding RNA, 1952 nt
Organism: Acanthochromis polyacanthus (spiny chromis)
Lineage: Eukaryota; Metazoa; Chordata; Actinopteri; Pomacentridae
Exons: 2
Source: RefSeq, a predicted model, not a curated record
CAGAAUAUUCAAUUGGCCCAGGCCUACACAUACAUUCAUUGUGGAAAAAAAAAAACAUUUAAAAAAGUGUGUAAAUAUGACUGAAAAUGACAAAAAAUACACGCUAAAAUCUCUCAGCUUCAUUGCAAACAGGGAGCUAUCUGGGCAGAAAUGUUCUAUGACAAGAUGUUUUGGAGUCCCCCCUCCCCCCCGUUUUUUUCCUUUUUUGUUCUUUUGUUUAAACAUUUAAUAAAGUGAUUUCAUUUCAGUGGAGAAGUGACUCACAAGAGACUACCUAUCGUGACUGUCAUUCCAACCUUUCCCAAAGAUGUACAGAUGAAACUGGAUGCAAGAGAACCAUGUCACAGAGUCCCCAAACUCCGCAACAAAAUUAUCAGAGUGCUGUAUGAAAUGAUGGCAGAAUACACCCUGUAUCCAACCAAUACAGAGUACACUCAAGUUGCCAAGGCUCUGAUCAUGAAAUACCCUUUCCUGAGAGACAGGGAGGGAAAUGGCUAUGUAAGCCAUGGAUUUUGUUUACUUGUUCUUUAUUAGCACAGUUGGCCUACUAAUUGUGUGUGAUUUUUUUCCUAGCACACCUGGCACGUCUUUGAAGCGAAAAUUUAAAGCGGAACGUGCACCACUUGUCAGUGACACUGAAGUUAGAAAGCUGAAGGAGAAGUUUGGCCAUGCAAAGCAGUCCAAGGUUACCAACAUCUCUUCAAAUGUCUCUCGUAAGCCGUCAAGUCAGUCAUUUGUAAGUGCACAUGUAUUAUUCAUAUUUAACAUUUUAACUUGUUGUAUAAAUAAUCCGAGUGGAAUACAUUUGAGAAGUUUCAAAUGCAAAACAAGAAGUCUUUACUGGUCACUGUCUGAGCACUGUUUUUUUUUUUUAUGCCAAAGGAAAUUUGUGUUGGGGAGGAUUCUGUGCUGCCUUUCAUAAUGGGACACCGUGUUCCUCCUGGUAGCAGAUACUGGCAUGUGUUCUUGCUAUGUAGAGAUAUUGCAGACAUUGUUUUGGCAGAUAAAGUGAGGAAAGACGAACUAGCCUAUCUAGAAUUGCUUGUACACGCAUUCCUUUCUGAGAUGAAAGAGGUUUUUGGAACUGUGUUAACACCUAAAUGUCAUUACCUUGUACAUUAUACAAGACUUAUGUCAAUGUAUGGUCCUCUUCAUUCUCUGUGGUGCAUGCGUUUCGAAGGAAAACAUCAGUAUUUUAAGAGACUGACUAAUAACUGUCGAAAUUUCAGAAACAUAACCGUGACACUUAGCACUCGCCACCAGCUAAAACAGUGUUGGGAAUUUUCACCAAGUAAUAUCUUAGGGGAUUUUGAAAAGGUGCCUGGAAAGAAGCGUCAGCACACCAAUAUUGUCUCUACCCAUUUGUCUUCAAACUGCACUACAAGAAAGUUGCAACUUCAGCAAUGUGGAAGGGAAAGUAAUUCAGCGUGUAUCUGAAGUGACUGUAGGCAAUAUCAAGUAUGCUAUUAGAGAUGUAUUGACAUUAGACUUUGUACAUGAGGAAAAGAUUCCAGUGUUCGGACAGAUUAAAUACAUUCUUAACAUUGACACUAUGUGGUUUCUUUGCUGUAAAAUUUUGCAUCCAAUGUCUUUUGACUUGCAUUUUCACGCAUAUCGUGUAAAAGUAGACAGUGAGUGGAUUUUGCUUAAACCUGGAGAUGAAAAAGACCAUACAUCACUUGACACGUACACUAUUGAUGACAAGUUGUAUGUUGGAUUUAGAUGUUCUGUAUAAAUACUUGUGCAAGUUUUGCAAGGCUUUAUGAAUGGAUUACUAGAGACAAACUCUGUCUGUCUUCAACAUUCUAGUUGUAACUCAUCUUUUGUCUUCUGUUCAGUUUUAUAUAACUUUUGGGUUGAAGACAAAUGUUUAAGAAUAUUGCCUAAAUGUAAUGCACUGCAAAUGAAAUGAACUGAUGGUUAAAUUUUGAUCAAUAAAUGUAUUUUGUACA